Molecule: long non-coding RNA, 1447 nt
Filed under: Homo sapiens (human)
Lineage: Eukaryota; Metazoa; Chordata; Mammalia; Primates; Hominidae
Description: HSALNT0204345
Source: RNAcentral
GAAGACCUGAAGAUCUGAAAUUCAGCUGAGACUCCAGAAAUUGGAGAAUGAGAAGGCAUUGGCAAGAAUAUUUCAAAGUAAAGGAAAGGUUACGGCAAGGCCCUGAGGCUGGAAAGAGAAUGGAGUUUCUGAGAAACUGACAUAGGAAUGUAACUGGAGCACAAAGAAAGAGAGACAUGGGAGAUGAGGCUGGGGAAGGCAGCGGUCAAACUGGGAAGAUAUUCUAAGCCAUGCUGAGAGCGCUCGACUUUCUCAAAAGGGCUAAUCUACAAUCAGAAGAAGAAAAGCCUUUCAUUUGUGGACUCCAGCUAGAGGAAGGAAGCUUUUGUAUGUGGAUUCACUGGAGACCAAAAUAUUAAAAAGUGGAAGAGGAAAACCAUAUGUUGCAGUUCUCAUAAGCAGGCAGCUCAAAGUUCUGGUUAAAGAAAUGCUUGAGUUCAUUUUACAGAAAAGUAAAUAUUUUAUCAUGAGAACAGGGUAUACUAAUAAUAUUGAUACCUCUGUUACAAACAUUGACAUUUUAAGUUGUAUUCUGUUUUCUCUAAUUUUUUAAAUCAGGAAAACCUAAGAAUUAGAUAUUUCAAAGAAACACAAAAUGACCAAACAUUUUAGCAUAAUUCUUCAAAAUGUAACUUAAGAAGGAAAGAAGAGAUCCAACAGAAUAAAGAUAGAAGAUAAUUUUUAUAAGCUUAUGAUUCCUUCUCUUCUAUGAGUCACAGCAAAGUUAGCUGAUAUUUUAUAGUUGCAGCAAUUGAAUGCAGGUUAUAAUAGAAGUGGGGAAAAUCACUAAUAAUUAUCUGCAUCCUAUUUCAUAGUCAAUUCAAUAACGUAAUGUUAAGAUAGUCUCCUUAUCUCUUUUGGUUGACAAAGGGUUAUCCUUGCCUUCGUAUUACUUGUGAAUAAGCCUAGUGAUGAGAACAAGAUUAGUGUGGUCCUCUUCCAACUUCCUAUAGGAGAGAAUGCAAGAAGAUCUUCCCAUUCUUUUUAACCUGACCACAUUUGUGUUUGAUUUCCUUUCUAUGUCUUUGAAGCAGCCAAACAAAUAAAGCCUGCUUUAAUACAUGUAUCCUUUAAAGAAUAUGGCUUCCAGCUCAAAGUUUCAGUAUGUGAAACCAAAAGUAUCUAAGACAGGUCUCAAUCAAUUUAGAAAGUUUAUUUUGCCAAGGUUAAGGUGACAACCAUGACACAAUCUCAGGAGAUCCUGAUGACAUGUGCCCAAGGUGGAUGGGUCACAACUUGGUUUUAUACAUUUUAGGGAGACAUGAGACAUCAGUCAAAUACAUUUAAGAUGUACAUUGGUUCGGUCCAGAAAGUCAGAACAAUUCAAAGCAGGUGCUUCCAGGUUAUAGGUAGAUUUAAAAAUUUUCUGAUUGGCAAUUUGGUUGAAAGAGUUGCCAUCAAUAUAAAGAAAUGUCUGGGAUAUGACAAGAGGUUGUGGAGACCAAAG